GAUGAACGCUGGCGGCGUGCCUAAUACAUGCAAGUCGAGCGAACAGACGAGGAGCUUGCUCCUCUGACGUUAGCGGCGGACGGGUGUGUAACACGUGGAUAACCUACCUAUAAGACUGGGAUAACUUCGGGAAACCGGCGCUAAUACCGGAUAAUAUAUUGAACCGCAUGGUUCAAUAGUGAAAGACGGUUUUGCUGGCACUUAUAGCUGGAUCCGCGCCGCAUUAGCUGGUUGGUAAGGUAACGGCUUACCAAGGCAACGAUGCGUAGCCGACCUGAGAGGGGGAUCGGCCACACUGGAACUGAGACGCGGUCCAGACUCCUACGGGAGGCAGCAGUAGGGAAUCUUCCGCAAUGGGCGAAAGCUUGACGGAGCAACGCCGCGUGAGUGAUGAAGGUCUUCGGAUCGUAAAACUCUGUUAUUAGGGAAGAACAAAUGUGUAAGUAACUAUGCACGUCUUGACGGUACCUAAUCAGAAAGCCACGGCUAACUACGUG
RNAcentral lists this ribosomal RNA (497 nucleotides) under uncultured bacterium. RNAcentral's name for it is "partial 16S ribosomal RNA". It matches the Rfam family "Bacterial small subunit ribosomal RNA", at positions 28 to 507 of the family's 1533-position model. The record is from RNAcentral.